CGGACGUGUUGCUUACGUAUGGAGUAGGUUGGGUAUAACUAAUCCCUAAAUCGAAUGACGGUGGUUCCAAGGUCAUUGGGUCGAAAAAUUACACAUGAGGUACAUAUUUUCCUUUCCUUUCUUAUCAACUGUUUCAUCAUCAUUUUUUCCUACACAUGGCACAAACAUGAAAAGUCCAGAAGUGAAAUAUGAACCACGUAAAAUGACCUUGGUAAUAGGAUGAACUAUCUUCUUCCUGAACGGGUGCAACUCCAGUGCUUUUCGAUUCAUUUCUCUCUUUGAAUUUGUUCAAAAUUUGAUCCAUUGAGCUUGUUAUCAUUACAGUCACGGAAUCAUAUAGAAAAUUCAGUUCUAACUUCAUCUCCAUCAAGUCUGACCUGAUUUCUCCUCAUAUGAACAACAAUAUUCAACUUAUGACUCUUGUCAGCUGUUAAUGACAAUAACUGCGCCUUGAAAUCAUUGAUUUGCAUAGACAACUCCAUAUUUUUAAUUUGGAGUUCAUUAACUUCAUUUUUCAAAUUCUGCAACACCUAUGAUAUUUGAAAAUACAUCAAUCAUGUGGAAAAUGUAAGAUAUUGUUGUAUGUGAAUGACAUGUGACCGAUACAUGUUGGACUGUGACAUGAACAUUUUAACAGGUCAAGCAAAAAUAGUACUGUGGCUAUACACCAAUGCAUUUGUACAUGUAAAAAAAUGUAAAUGACAUGUGACACAAUGACUACGAUAUGUGGCAAAUACAUAUGUACAAGUGAAGUGCAUCACCGAACAACUGUGGAAAUUAUUAACGUGGAAUAAGAAUCUGUGACCAGUUUUCACAUGUGUUUCACUAGUUUAAUGUGAACUGACCGCGUAAUAAAAUCAAGAUUUACGAUAGAUAUAUGACAUUUGACGUAGAAUUGGCGUGCAAUUUAAAAUUCCAAACAUGAAAAUUAAAGAUAGUAACAUACAUCAAAUCCAGGUGUUUCUGCUGCAUAUGGUGGAGAAAUAUGAGCGGAUGGACCCUCGUCCACUGGUGAAUCAAUGUAUGACUGUUGCGGCUCCAUCAAAGGAUCCAUGGAAGAAUGAACAGAAAAUGAUGUCAUUUGUCGUCUUGGAGGUGGAACAACAAAAUCAUCGUUAUCCUCAAUAUCACUCGAAUGGCCUAAACGUCCAUCAGUAAUCAUUAGAAUGUGUGUCUUGGACUUGUUGAUUGGUAGCUGAAGCUUUGAACUUCUACUGUUGCGUGAUAGCAAUGCUUGUGUGGUCUAUUAUAUUGAACCCCAUCCAUAUAUGGUUUCACCAUCUCUAUCUUCGAUGGAUUGAUGUCCUGUACUUGAAGCUAUUACAAUAAAAUAAGGUAAAAGACUAGUUAUAUCCGGUUGAAUACUGAUUGUAGAAUGUGAACUGUGACAAAAAAUGGUAGAACUGUGACCUGAUAAUGAGAGUUGUGAUCACUGCAUGAAAGCUAUUUAAAGUGACGUAUGAAAUGUAAAAUUGACAGUUGAGUUUUUCUUUGAC
Molecule: long non-coding RNA, 1496 nt
Filed under: Olea europaea subsp. europaea
Lineage: Eukaryota; Viridiplantae; Streptophyta; Magnoliopsida; Lamiales; Oleaceae
Source: RNAcentral